Molecule: ribosomal RNA, 315 nt
Filed under: Triticum aestivum (bread wheat)
Lineage: Eukaryota; Viridiplantae; Streptophyta; Magnoliopsida; Poales; Poaceae
Description: partial small subunit ribosomal RNA
Source: RNAcentral
AUGGCUUGCAUACAUGAAGGCUAUCUCCAACAUUGCUUGAUUUGCAGUUUAUUCCCAGGCUUGAAACAGUGGCAUAUAGUAUUAUCUUACAGAACAAUAGAUGAUUCCGCUUUCAGAGAGCUGAUCAUACCUAUCUUGCUCGAUUUGAUGUUGUUCCGUGUGUUACUUUGUACCUCUCGACACAAUGAAUAUGAAGGAGAGGCACUCCAAGAGUUCAUGUUUAAUUACAAGAUCUAUAGCUAUUUCGUUUACAUUAGGAGCAGUACCAAUCUGUUUCUAAUUCAGGUUAAACUAGGAACAUCUAUGGAAGGAUAA